RNAcentral lists this ribosomal RNA (372 nucleotides) under uncultured organism. RNAcentral's name for it is "bacterial SSU rRNA". It matches the Rfam family "Bacterial small subunit ribosomal RNA", at positions 526 to 896 of the family's 1533-position model. The record is from RNAcentral.
CGGGGGGGGCAAGCGUUGUUCGGAGUUACUGGGCGUAAAGGGCUUGUAGGCGGCCAACUAAGUCCGACGUGAAAUCCCCAGGCUUAACCUGGGAACUGCGUCGGAUACUGGAUGGCUUGAAUCCGGGAGAGGGAUGCGGAAUUCCAGGUGUAGCGGUGAAAUGCGUAGAUAUCUGGAGGAACACCGGUGGCGAAGGCGGCAUCCUGGACCGGCAUUGACGCUGAAAAGCGAAAGCCAGGGGAGCAAACGGGAUUAGAUACCCCGGUAGUCCUGGCCCUAAACGAUGAAUGUUUGGUGUGGCGGGUAUCGAUCCCUGCCGUGCCGAAGCUAACGCAUUAAACAUUCCGCCUGGGGAGUACGGUCGCAAGGCUG